UACGAAGGGGGCUAGCGUUGCUCGGAAUCAUUGGGCGUAAAGCGCGCGUAGGCGGCCAGAUUAGUCCGGUGUGAAAGUCAGAGGCUCAACCUUUGAAUGCCGCUGGAAACUGUCUGGCUUGAGUCCGGAAGGGGCGAGUGGAAUUCCUGGUGUAGCGGUGAAAUGCGCAGAUAUCAGGAGGAACACCAAUGGCGAAGGCAGCUCGCUGGGACGGUACUGACGCUGAGACGCGAAAGCGUGGGGAGCGAACAGG
RNAcentral lists this ribosomal RNA (253 nucleotides) under uncultured bacterium. RNAcentral describes it as "partial 16S ribosomal RNA". It matches the Rfam family "Bacterial small subunit ribosomal RNA", at positions 524 to 776 of the family's 1533-position model. The record is from RNAcentral.